AAUGCGUAGAGAUGUGGAGGAACACCAGUGGCGAAGGCGACUCUCUGGUCUGUAACUGACGCUGAGGCGCGAAAGCGUGGGGAGCGAACAGGAUUAGAUACCCUGGUAGUCCACGCCGUAAACGAUGAGUGCUAAGUGUUAGAGGGUUUCCGCCCUUUAGUGCUGCAGCUAACGCAUUAAGCACUCCGCCUGGGGAGUACGGCCGCAAGGCUGAAACUCAAAGGAAUUGACGGGGGCCCGCACAAGCGGUGGAGCAUGUGGUUUAAUUCGAAGCAACGCGAAGAACCUUACCAGGUCUUGACAUCCUCUGACACCUCUAGAGAUAGAGCGUUCCCCUUCGGGGGACAGAGUGACAGGUGGUGCAUGGUUGUCGUCAGCUCGUGUCGUGAGAUGUUGGGUUAAGUCCCGCAACGAGCGCAACCCUUGAUCUUAGUUGCCAGCAUUCAGUUGGGCACUCUAAGGUGACUGCCGGUGACAAACCGGAGGAAGGUGGGGAUGACGUCAAAUCAUCAUGCCCCUUAUGACCUGGGCUACACACGUGCUACAAUGGAUGGUACAAAGGGCAGCAAAGCCGCGAGGCCGAGCGAAUCCCAUAAAGCCAUUCUC
RNAcentral lists this ribosomal RNA (606 nucleotides) under Bacillus sp. (in: firmicutes). Its description in RNAcentral is "bacterial SSU rRNA". It matches the Rfam family "Bacterial small subunit ribosomal RNA", at positions 685 to 1289 of the family's 1533-position model. The record is from RNAcentral. Lineage: Bacteria; Bacillati; Bacillota; Bacilli; Caryophanales; Bacillaceae.